GAGAGAGAGAGAGAGAGAGAGAAAGAGAGAGAGAGAGAGAGAGAGCACCCUCACUGAAUGUUUAUUAUAGUUUUUAUUACAGUUUUUUAGCAUUGGGGGGUUUUGGGGUAUCACUCAAACAAAGGAAACAGCAAAAGUUUUAACAUAAUAAGUGUCCAAUUACAAAGAUAAAGAAAUGAGUAGUAAUACAAUUGUAUAGCCAGGUGUUCAGGAAGAGUAAUUUGCAAGUCUAUCUUGACUAGUGAAAAAACUUCUGUCUUCCCAAAAACCUGGUCCAAACCUAUUCAGAGUCUGACCACUUUUUCAGAUGUUAAGGUCCAAAAGGCCUUUACAACUUGUCUGCCAGCUUUCAGACUGCAGAUAAUUAUAGAGGCUUAAUUUUUAAGUUCCACAAAAUUUAAGUCCCAUCCAAUUUAAGGAUUCAGAAAUCAAUCAUGUGAAAUAUUAGAAAUAUAUCCAUAAACACUUUGCUAAUUAGUCAGUUUUUGAAUACAUCUUUAAUAUCUUCAUGAUUCGUCAUUUACUGAAACCCUUCACCCGAGGUUAGGGGAUUGGAGAGAGGGCUUAGAGCAUUCACUAAAGAUUUCUUCUAUCUUUUGUCUUAAGGCACUAUUUCACACUCUGGUGAAAAAAACUAGUAGUGAGCUUAGAGUGUUACUUCUCCUGAACACACCUAAAUUUUAAAUAAGAGAUAAUUCUUUAGCCCAAAGGAAUGAAGGUCCAGUAGCAGACUUUUAAAUGUUAAAGACAAUCCAUUUAGGAAGAUACUCUGAGGACAAGGACUUCUCUGCCUUGAAAUUAUGCCAUGUAGGCAGCUGACUACUUCACCUAUAUAAAAGGUCCAUCCAGGCCAUUGCCUUGAAACCCUCCUGGAGAUUUCAGAAAAUAUUCCUCUCUUUAUGUUGCUCCUCUGUGAAUCACCAUACCAGUUCCCUCCAUUCACCCUUGCCUGAUCAGUCUAUCAUUGAAUUGGACUGAGAGCCCUAUUUCUCCAGUUUUCCUCCCCCUUCAUUUUGGUUUGAGUGGCAGGCUCAGGAGCAGAGUCUGGGUCUCUGCAAAGAGAAGCUGCUAAAUUUGGAGGCUGGGGAAAAUAUGGUGACUGUCAUAAUCACUGGUUCUUAAUAAGGCACCAUCAGCAGCUGGGUCUAGAAAAGGAAAGAGGCCCCAUUGUAUUGUAACUCUUGCCCCUCAAGAGAUUAAUGGCCUCACUAGCCUGAUUCAUGCUCUCAAAAAAGGCCAAGAGUUUUGGAGUGGGUUCCAGGGGAAGAAGAGAAGAUCUGAUCUCUGGUGAACUCCUGCUGAGUGCCCAUUAAUAGAGGGAACAAGGGGGUACUUUUACUAAAAUGAAAGAGUCCUGAAUGAAAAGGAUCAUCUUUUGGAGGACUCUAGGAGUCUCUUGGAUGCCAACUCCCCUGCUCAUCUUCUGAUGGUUAUCAACUAAGACAUCAUCCAUGGAAAGAAGGUACUUUCCACCAUUCCCACAUUCCUACUUUAGUAGGAGUGUCUGGGAGAACACCCUAUCUCUUGAGUUCUGUAGUCCCCAACUAGUUGAUGGGGAAAAGACAAUUAAUGCUAAAGAAGAGAGAAACAACUAGCCAUUCCAAGAUCUCAUUUUAGAAAGCACACUGAGGAAAAUACAGUAGGUUAUUUCAGUGCCAAUUUUUCCUUCCUGUCCCAGGACAGGAGAGAGAUGAACAUGAAGGGAAAAGGGAAAUUUAUCUGGAAGGGGACAAUGGAGAUCCAGAAAGGCAUUGAAGGAUGGAGGAAAUGAGGAAAGACCAGGAAUUGGUGUCUGAACCAUCCUCAUAGAGUGUAGGAGGAGAACCAGACACAGAUAAGGAAACAGAUACUCUUCCAUUCUUCUUUCUCCCACAUUCACCUUCUCACCCUUCUAUUGACCAUAGAAAUGAAUCCUAAAGCUGAUUGGUUAAGACUUAGCUGGGUCUGGAAUUGAGGUUUUAUAUUCCAACUUCUCCUUUCUCUUAUGUGCCUAACUUCUCAAAAGACCAGAGGUAAAUGGAAAUACAGAUACCCCCUUUCCAAAGAACCAUCAUCAUUGUUUCUACACUUAGUCAAUGACAGCAAAUAUAAGUGGAAGACAAAGGCAAAAAAGAACCUCCCGUUUCAGAAAAAUAUAAUGAACUUGGAAUUAGUCUAGCCCAGUGAUAGUGAACCUUUUAGAGAUCUAGUGAUGUGCUCUGCCCACUGCUCCCUUACCCCACACAGGGGAGGGAGAAAGGGGUCAUGUUGAGCAGAGGGGCAGGUGAAGUGAGGAAUGUCCUCAGCACAGGUGAAGAGGGAGAGGAGAGUGGCCUGAGCUCUGCUCCCCUCUAGUUCUGCUGCCUGUGAGCUGCUCACCUUAUCCCCAUGUGUUCCCCUUGGGCUGCUAGGCAAAGGGGUGAGGGAUGUGAAAAAUGUCCUCCAGCACAGUGGAAAGGGGGAUGGGAGCAGCUCCACUCAAAUCUCUAGUAGAGAACUGGGAGAGGGGAGGGGAUGGAGGCUCCCACGCCCAUAGAGAGCACUCUGUGUGCCUUCUUUGGCACCUAAACCAUAGGUUCACCACUGGUGGUCUAGCUAAUGGGGAAGUGAAGUGGUACACUUCACAAAUGAGUUCAAACACCUAGAAUUUCAAUUAUUGGAAUCAUAAUUUAUUAAUAAAAGAGAGAAAUAAAAAAUCUACCAGCUGGGGCAGAAUUCCCUAAUGGAAAACUGCAUCAGACUGACAUUACAGGAUAACUUAUAUACAUUACAGAGUUAUACAGGUUCUUAUCUGACAACAAACAGACUUUAAUACAGGAAUGUGAGGUUGGAGACAAGAAGCCCAUCCUGGGGUUGUGAUCUAAGGAGUAUUUAUCUUUACUUAGUCAAAUGUUAGUUUGCUGACCCUUUGAUAUUCCUGAAAUUCCUCCUUGUCUCCUUCCCCCCCCCAAGCCAAACAGAAACCAGUUUGUUAUCUCCCUAAAACAGCUGGACCUCCUGGAGGGAAGGGAAGCCAGAUCUGUCCCCUAAAAAUGGGGACAGGGGGCUAUCUCUUUUUAAUUUUUCCAUCUUUGGUCUUUUUGGGGCUACUUCAGAAGCUACUUAAAGAAAGGCUGGAAUCCCUCAGGUAGAGCUUCAAUCCUCUUAGGAAUAUGGCUCAAAAACACAUGGUUUCCAGAUACUUAGUAAGGUCCUGACCAUGAAAGGGUUAAAGUUCAUGCUUCCCUUACUUCAAAGAGGCCCAAAACCUGGAAAUGUUAGGGUGGAGCUUACUCUGGCUACCUAAACUGACCAGUUACCAUUUUUUCCAAUAUUUCAUAAAGUUUAGCUCUCUGUGGGCCUCAGUUGAAAAACUCCUAAAAAAAGAAGUCUCAAUCUCCAUUCCUGCCUCUUUUCUGCUUAUCCAUUUCCCAAAAACAGCAUGAUCAUAUCAUCUCUAGAGCUAGCUCAAUUUUCUCAUAUCUCUCAUUUCAUCUGUUCCUCAACUGUGAUUAUCCAUAAACCCAGUCAUAAAUCACCAUAAUCCAUAAACUACCUAGAUGAGGUUAGGAACUAGCCCCUUAACUCCUGGUCUCCUCCCACCUCCCAGUGUCAUGCUCUUCUCUCCCAGGUCUUUUCUAAAUUCCCAUUUAAGAUUUAAUCCUCAGCACAAAAAAAGGCAAUCUUGGGCUAUGUUAAAAAUGACUUGUUUUCUUCCAGCACAUCCACCAUCUAUAAGUAAAUCCAUAUAAAAUAAAGGACCUGAACUAACACUUAAUAUGUCUUAUUCAUCUCAGAACCCCCUAACCGUGCCCAAACUAUUUCCCUUCCCUUUUUUCCUAGAAGGUUUAGUACAAUGGAGAAAGAAUCAAUUACUUUAUGAUUGAUGGUAAAGACAGAACAAAACUGAAUUGAAACAGUUCUCAAAAUUAAGAAGCUGAAGCCCCAGGUAUCUGGAGAAGUCAGGGUCUAGAAGCCUUUUAGGAUAAAUGAGCUGCCUUGUCCCAACUUCUGAGAAGGACUGCUGUCCUAAUUGGUUACUGUCUCACCUAGCCCUACCACUUGAGGUAGGCUCCAGCCAAACUUCUCUUCUUUACUCCCUAUUCCCCAAACACCUCAACAAUUACUAACACACAUAGCCUCUUACCCUAGUCCCUCAUCUGCUCUCCAGUUCUAGAACCACAAUCAAAUCAACUCUUCCAUUGCUCCAGGAAGAGUGUGUCUGCUCCCUAUUUCUCAAUCCCAGGAAUUUUCAGGAUCAAAAUGGCCCUCCCCGGCUUCUCCUCUACUUCCCCUCUAUUUAGGAUGUAAGUUCAUUAUGAUCAGGAGCUAUGUAUCUGUAUUCCUAGGGCUUAGAUGAGUGUUUGGCAAAUAAUAAGCAUUUAGUGUUCUUCAUUCAUUCAAAAACCAGAUCCACCAUCUAUUAAAGAAGAAACCACACUUUGAAAUUUAUGUACUUUUAAAAAUAGAAUUCUUGGCAAUAAGAGGUUAGCAAUUUAUAUAUAACCUUCCUUUUCCCUUUUUCUAUAUAGAAAUGCCAUCUCUUUAUGUGCAGGUGUGUUUGAUAUAAUUUUUAAAAAGAAACCAAACUUCAGCUUAACCCUUUCCCCUAUCAUUUGUCCAUCCAUCUCCUUUCACUUAAGAAUAUCAACCUCCUUCCAUAGAACAUGAAAUUGUAUUCUUUACCUCUUACCCUUCCCAAUCCUAUCCCUUCUCCUUUCCUCUCCCAAGGAUUCCCAACUGAACUCUCCCAGGAAAGUCACCUUCUUCCAAUAAGGCACUGGGAAUGAAUCCAGGUCCCUUCUAUCAUCCCUGCAAAGUAGUUUCAGUAAAGUAAGGAUAUAAGUUGCAACCUCUUCUUCCUGACUGUUAUUUCCCCCUUCCAGCCUAUCAUUCCCAUAGUUACCAAAGUGAUAUUCCUAAAUAAAGCCAGUAGAUCUGACCAUUUCACCCCACCUACUCAAUAAACAAUGGUUCCCAAUUGCCUCCAGAAUCAACAAAUAUAAAAUCUUCUGUGUGGUUUUUAAAGCCUCCACAGCCUGGAUCCUUCCUAUUCCAGCCUUUUUAUAUGUCAACUCUCUCUACAAUCCAUUUUUAUAAUUUCCUUGCUAUCAUUCAUAAGUCUCUCUUCUUUUGGAUCCAAGCAUUUUCCCUGAUUGUUCCCCCAUACCUGGAAUGCUCUCACUCCUUACCUUGACCUUCUGAUUUCUCUAACUUCCUUCAAGUCUCUCCUAAAAUUCCACUUUCUACAAAAGACCCUUCCUGGUACCCCUCAAUGCUACUGUCUUCCUUUUGAGACUCCAUCCCAGCUAUUGUAUGUCCAUAGUUGUUUUCAUGUUAUAUCUCCCCCCAUUAGAAUAUGAAUUCCUUGAGGGCAGGGACUGGUUUUGCCUUUCCUUAUAUCCCUUUGUGCCAAAUACAAACUAAAUACUAAGUGUUUGUUGAAUGAUUAAUUGAUCCUACAAACACUUAACUUUGGGUGGAUUCAGCUAUAUACCCUCAGCAGGGGGUGGAGUAGGGAUUGGGAGAUGGAAUAAAUUACAAGGAAUAAGCAUGAAAAAGGAGAUAUGAAUCUGCUUGUUCCUCAACCUUUGUCAACUUCAGCAAAUCUCCGGUAAUAUGAGCAUCUCACCACAUUUAUGUGAUACUGGAUUCUCUUCAUCAUCCCAACAACCUAUUCAUUCUGCUUAAGUUGGUGGAUCUUAAGAGAGGGAUAGCCUUGGCUGGCCUUCCUCAUAUUCCUGAUUAGCUAGAAGAUUUUUUUUUUCUUUUAAAACCCUUACCUUCCGUCUUGGAGUCAAUACUCUGUAUUGGCUCCAAGGCAGAAGAGUGGUAAGGGCUAGGCAAUGGGGGUUAAGUGACUUGCCCAAGGUCACACAGCUAGGAAGUGGCUGAGGCCAGAUUUGAACCUAGGACCUCCCAUCUCUAGGACUGGCUCUUAAUCCACUGAGCUACCCAGCUGCCCCCUAGCUAGAAGAUCUUUAGCUGUGUUUGCUCCCUUUGACUUUCUUGUGUCCACUUUCUCCCAAGAAGAAAGUUAUGUGGCAGAAAGGUGAUCAUCAGCAAAAAGAAUCAUACUUAAGUGAAAAGCUCUUUCAAGAGUAUUCUUUUCCCUAAACAGCAGCUUUCCUGUCAGAUGAGACUUUACUUAUUUUUGUUUUCUUCUAUUUGAAUAGAAGUCUUGUUCCCACCUGUCUUCCUAAUCAGGAGCUUGGGUGGGCAGAGUAAAAAAUGAAAUUUAUAUUGGCUUGUUUCUAUGGCAACCAUCUCAGAUUCAUCUAUUCUCUGAAAGUCUUUCAAGAAACCCUGGCCCCUUGCUUGCUACACCAGGCUGUACAUCAGGGCUCAUUAAAAUUAUCUUCAAGGAUAACUUUUACUAUUCUGAUUUUUGUCUUACAUGUUAACUUUUAAAAUCAAAUUCCCAUGUAAAAUGGAACUUCCCAGGAUUCUAUUCAGAAGUCUGUCAGUGAAGGAGAGGACAGAGAUAGGGGUCAUAGCUUAAUGUGGUUGGCCAAGUGAAGGCCUGAGCAAACCAAAACGGAAGAAACUGAAGAUGCAGAAAGAGGAGAUGAUAAAAGGGACAAGAUCCCAAAGAAAAUGAAAAGAAGAUGAGAUCAAAGAUCCAGAUGGAAGUAUUUCCCUAGGGAAAGAGAACUAUUUCUUCUUGAGAUAAUGGAGAAGAGGAUGGCCAAGGAAAGAGAUUUUGAAAUAUGAAUGAAGAGAAGUUUAGGGAGUUCAUAUCAGAUAGCCAUAAAAUAAAAACUAAGGUCUUCUAAAAGAAGGAAUGAAGGGAAUUCAGAUAAGAGUGCAAAUUAGGGUCUUGAAGCAAGAAGAAAAAAACUUGGGACAACUAUUUGUGGGAUGAAAGGGAUCAACACAAGAAUUUGGGGGAAGGAGUUGCUGGGGUUACAUAGUUCUGUGGUAGAGUCAACUAAUUCAGUUUGCUAUACUGUCUUUUCUCCAGAGGUCCAGAAAUAUGAACAGCAAAAUCAGAUUUUGUGAGCUAUGCAGUUUAGGAGAUGGAUAAAUAUAAUGAAAGGCUGAGGAGGCAAGGGAUUUUAUGAUAGUAAAGAAUGAAUACUGUUUUAAGGCUGACUACAAAUGCAGGUUCAGAAGUGGGAGAAACUACAGGAUGCAGUGGGGGGAGGGGAGGACCGAGUCUUGAUGAGGGUGGAGAGAAGUGUAGAAGCAAUUCAAGACAAGCCAAUGAUUAAGGUCAUCCUAUGACAUCAAUCCCACACAUUGUCUUGAAAUGGAGAUAGUUCCUCAGCCCCAAACAUCUCAUUGACUCUUUCUUUCCUUCCUCUCUCCUUGGAAUUUUCCACAUAAAGUAGUCCUAAAACUGUAUGGUUAGAUUUUUGAGGAGAAUUUUGUUGAGUAACAUCCAAAGUCUGAAGUGAAAAAGAUUGCCCUUUUCCCCACUUACUGGAGAGAUAGGAACCAGGGGUUUCCAGCUUUCACCUCCCUAUUCAGAGCACCCAGAUACCAAUUCUCAAGGCUCCUAAAAGAGGCUCCAUUCUUGACUUUCAGCAAUUUGUUUUUUCAUAAGAAAAACCUAUGGGUAGUUUAUUCUCUUCACUUUCCUUUACACACUCCUGCUUAGAGGUCAAGGACUUCCAUCUAAUGACAUUGGAAUCUUCAACUUUUUAUAUCCCCAUCCCUCAGGAUCCUAGGUUCUGCUGAACCUGGUCCUUAUCUUCCCCAAGUCACAUUCCAUAAAUUCUCUUUUACACCCAGUCUUAUUCUCCUGAUUCCUGGGGGUAGUUAAAAGGUCUUCUUUCUAUUGGCUUUGCUUUCUUCUUAAUCUAUUGAGGAAGGUUCCUUCCUCCUUCAUAGGCCUCAGACCUGAAAAGGGAAUUCCCUAUCCCAAGAAAAAUUUAAGGCAGCUAAUCUCCUACAGGUCACCAUAACCUUAAUUCCCUGGCUUCCAGAAUUAUUAAAAUCCAAAGCCAGGAGUUGCUUCACAAGAUGUGUGUCUGUCUUAAAGAAUACCUCUGUCCAAAAAUAUGCCCAUUUGCCUCUGUAAUGGCACCAGUAGAUAUUCAUUACUUUGCUCUAAAACUAUUAUCUUUUCUAUCUAGAUCAGAAGGUGUACAUAAUUUUACAUAAUCUGAGGGCAAUCCCAUUUGUCUUUUAUCAUGUUUUGCUACUGCUGUAACCUAGGGACCACUGUGCCUUUCCAUCUGAUUUGUAGCUGAAAACUACUACAUGUUGUUUCCCCUAUUAGAAUGUGAGCUCCUUGAGAGCAGAGAUUAUCUUGCUUUUCUAUUUGAAUCCCCAGUGCUUGGCAUAGUGCUUUGUUACACUUAAGAAACACUUUUUCAGUCACCCAUUUAUUCAUCAAAAAUGUCAAAACUCCUAAGAGAGGUAAAACCUUAUUUAGGUGGAAAUAGUUGGCAACAAGUCAGAAAAGGGAAGCCUUGCAAAAUAGGUACAAGGUCAAUUACUAGAAUAAGGGAAAGGGGACUAAAAGAAAAAUAGGAAGGAAGCAAAAUCAAUCCCUACUUGUUAAUUUUGCCUAUGCCCUGUACAUAUAUAUAUAUGUAUAUGUAUAUAUAUAUAUAUAUGCCACAUAAUAAGGGAAAGGAGGGGUCACAGGAAAGUAAAAGUCCAUAUUCUAUCUUUGGAGUGAUAUAAAAUGGGCAAAUGAAGAGGAAGGGCAAAGGGAUGGUUAAGGAACAUAAGUUCAUUUAGAAGGUUUUAGGGGGUAUAUUAUGGUUCUCUAAAGAGACCCUACAAAAGCAUUAUCUCCCAGGUCAGUACCAUCUUAUCUUGUAAACUAUUUGCUUACUAUCCAAGGAAGGAUUAUCCUGAAGGGAGAAUUUCAGGACAUAAGACAUGAUAAGACAUGUUAGUGAAGAAUACAUAGAAUUCUUCCUCUGAGGACAAGUCAGUGGCCUCAUCCCCCAAAGCACUUAAAGAAAGUGACAAGCACAUGGAAGACAAUAAAUAUUUUAUUAUAACAAAUAGAAUUACUCCUACAAGAAAGAAAAAAUUUGUUACCUUUGAAAGAUUACAAAUAAUUGUCUCAACCUUGCCCUCAGUCUUCACUGAAUCUGUCAGUGACACAGAGGCUGUGAAUUCCUAAUCUAGCCUCUCUGCACCUUUGCUAACUUGGAUCUUACUCCCUAAUUCCUGACCCUCUACAGUCUUAAACUGGCAGUUCAGACCUCAUGACCACAACUGCUGGCAUCUAAUGAUGGCUAGAUGCCACCCAAAUCCACCCAUAUGGAUGAUUCUAGAAGAUUAACAUUCAUUAAUUCAUUCAUUCAACAUUUUCGACCACCAAUCCAUAAGACGCUAUUAGGCACUGUGAGGAAAUGUUUUUUAAGUAUUAAGAUAUGGUCUUCAUGGUUAUGCAAAUUGCAGUAGAAAAGUUUAUACUUAAUGGAGCACAUGGAUCAAAGUCUUACUAGUCCCAGUAGUCUACAGGAUAUACUACACUUUUGCCACAUGAAAAAUGAAGAUAGUAAAGAAAACUCCCAAAGAGGGCCUGAUCUCCCCCUGAAGAGAUCCUGCCUUUCACUGAUGCAGAGAUAGCCUGCCUUCCCUCCACAAAAACCUCUUAUCCCUAGUUCAAAUUGAUGCCCUAAAGGUCUCCACUACCUAAUUACAGAACCCCCACCCUAAAGAGAAGGAAGUCCAGAAGAAAGGAGAGCAAAGGGGCUCGAGUCCCUUUCAGUAACACAGAGCAGCUGUCAGUACAAAACUGUUUCAAGCCAAGAUCCCACCAGGACAAUCAGAAGCAUUUUUCUUGCUUAUCUUUAGAUUUAGUGGGGUGGUUAUGUUUCUAGUGUUCUUCCCUAAAAAAGGAGGGGGGGGAUCCUGACUACAGGAUCCAUUUUUCCAUGAUACUGACUUCUGCUGUCUUUAUAUUAAGCUUGCUUUCGAAAUGCUUGGUACCCUAAAAUAGAAUAAUCGAAUUUGUCUAGAGACAGCCUGUUGGAAGGGCAAAAAGAAUGCCAUAAUUUUUUUCCUUCCAAUAGCUUUAUCUCCUGCCACCUCUUUACACUUUGAUCCAUGAAUUAUGCUUCUUCAAUUUGGAUUAAUUUGAGUCCUGCAAAAGGAGGAGCAAACUUCUGGACCAUGGUGGGGAAGGAUCACACUCUGAUCACACUUCUCCCACUCCCACCCCAGAAAAUGGGGGCAAAGUGCUCAUUCACUUGGGAAGGUGAGAUCCAGGGUCUAGUCACACGUUAUCUUGUGAUUCUGGUAUCCCAUUGCCCUGAUAACCUCCUAGUUCAGGGAGGAGAAGCAAAGGAUAGAGACCUUACCUAAAGCCUUUCAAGCUAUGAACCUAAUGAAGGUUCAUUCUCUUCCCUGUUCAGCUCCAUUAUUUCCUGUUAUUUCUAACUUAUAACCUCUGUUGCAUAGAGGGGAGAAAGGCUAUUCCUACCACUCCUAUCUCCUUACCUCUAGAUGGGAUUAACAUCUGUAUGGAGGGUAGGAAUAACGUGCCAGCCAGAUACAAUCAUACACUUAAGCUGCACUAUACCUGGGAUAAAUUGUUGGGUGAAGGACUGUCUGGACAGAGAAGGGGCAGUCCGAGAGAGGCGCCCGCAGGGAAAAUUGUUCCCCUUUAGGUGAGGUACCACAUGGAGAAGGGUGGUAAGGAGCAGAGAGCAAGCCCGGGCAGGAAGCAGCCCCUGCCAUGUCAGCACUCUGGAGCAGAACUUCACUGGCCACAAGUUCUUUAUGACUGAUACUGAUUCCUGAGGUCAAUUUGUAGUCUUUGUAACUGAUCCAAUCACACAUAGCAUGACCACAGCUCUGUAAAAGGCAGUCUACUUUACCCCACCUUGCUCUAUGUCCAGGGGUAUACUAGGCAUUUGUGCUUUGCCUCCCACGCUGUCCUACUGUAUACUGGACAAUAGAAGGUCAUAUAGUCUUGAGGUAGAGGAAGCAAUUCUACCCAGAUCAGAAGGUGAUGACUAAAGGCAUUUUCACAUGACGUUAUGACAACUGUCCAAGGGGGAAAAAAUCAGAUUAAUUGUAUCUGAAUUGCCUUAGAAGGACUCAAAACCCAAUGAGAGAAGCCCCUCCCCUCCUCUACCUAAAGCACUUCCCCAAGGCCCAAGGAGUUUUCCCUUUCCUAGUUCCUACAAUCUCCAUUCUCUCUGUACUACUCUUCUGUAUCCCAGGAGGAAAAGCCUGUAGGAAUGAGGGAAAGAGUUCCAGCCAUCUGGCCUUCAAUUGCUGCCUAGGUGCCUAGGAGCUCAGGAGAAUCACUUGCAUGUUUUGUGCAAUCUUUUUCAAGAGAUUUAGAGAAGAAAUCCUGGAAGAUUUGCUCCAUGACCAGUGAAAUAACUAAUUUGACACUUGUAUAACUAGUUGGGAUAAUUGUAGGUUCAAGGGUGGUAUUAUAGGGCCAGUAAUCUGGUUUGGGAAGGGUAUACCAGCCCAGGGCUGGCAAAACCAGACCCUGAUCUCAUAAACACAGACACUGUAUAAUCACAGGACAGUUUAGUUUAAUAACUAAGGGAAAGGUGAAAGGGGCUUGGGAUAUCUAAAGAACAUAAAUAAACCUCCCCCCAAAACAAGCUGAUAACCUCAGAAAGAUGGUAUCUUACUGUCAGUUACCUAUCUACCUAAAAGUCCCAGUUCCUAUAAUACAAUACACUUCUCUAACCCAAAUUUCCCCUUGGAUGGUGAUAGAGGUAAUAGGGUAGGAAGGUAAGCAAGACCAGGACUUAAAGGCAUAGUCUCACUGACAGAUGGCUUUUGGUAUCUUCAGCAGCUCUGUAGGAAUAUCUCUCAGCAUCAACAGGUUCCACAGGAACAGGCAAAAAACCACAGGAGAGAGAAUAGCUAGUUCACUAGGUCCACCCCCGGAAACUAGACAGAAACUCAACCUCCUGCCUGCUCAACUGUCUCUUAGAAGAAGCAACAGUCCUGCCACUUCUCCAGAAUUCUGGAACCUUCCUGCUUCUGCCUUUGCAGGACCUUCUGCUCCUUCCUUUCCUUAUAACACCAGAUAACAAGAAAACAUGUCUAACGUUUAGGAAAGUCCUCUCAUACAUUACAUUACAUUACAUUACAUUACAUACAUGCAUUUUCAGACCAUUCUCAGCCCUUGAUUUUGCAAGAGAUUUUUGUCAAUGAGAACAUGAUGGAAGAUGCAAGCAUGGAAAGAGAGAGCACCUUCUAUUAGAAGAUGGGAAUGAAAAUUUGGGGGGAGGAAGGGGCAGAAGAGCUGCAAUAAUUGGGUUUACCUGGGGAUCUUCUUAACCUUUAUCUCUGAAUUCAAUGAAGGUAUUUAUUCUCUUUCUCACGUUGCUGAGAAUGAUUUGACUCCCGAUGAGGCUCAACUCAGGAGAAAGUGUGCAAUUCUGCUUUAUAACAUAUUAUACUAUAGAAGUUCUUUAAGUGUCAGAGGUAUACUCCAAUAAAAAUGGCUUCAGAUUUUGGUGAGGAAUGUGUCCCUCAGGACACAAUGAGUCUCCCAAAAUUUCCCAAAAGGGAAAAAUAGGGAAGGAAGUGAACUAGGGAUUCUGUUUUCUUCCUAACUUCAACAAUCAUUAAAGCUUAAGCCCAAGAUACUGAGAGAUUGGCAUUUGCUUAGGCUUAAGAGGUCCCUGAAGUUCCUUGGUUUUCUCCAGCCUUUCAGACCCCAACUUUAACAUAAUCCAAAUCAGAAUCCCACCCUCCAAAUCCUCAGAUGAAGAGCUGGGCUAAGGCUUCUGGGAAGAAGAUCCACAUACUGAACUGAAGGAAUCAAAUGAGAGACUUGUAAAUCAUAUAACAGCAUCUUGCACAUAGUACGUGCUUAAUAAAUGCUUAUUCCAUUCUGUUCCCUUACCCCUACCCACCCACAACCACCAUUCUAUCACUAAAGACCAAAGAGGAAGGAAAGAAAGAUAUGGGAAGAAGGGUUGUUUCAGCUGCUACUUUUGAAAACUGGUACCCUACUCUAAAACCCUAUAUACUGUUGCCUGACUUUCAAUAACAAUUCUAUCAUUAAUCCCCAAGAAUCAAUGUCCCGAACACUAAAAGAAGUAAAAACUUUUCAUCCUUCUACCUUGUAAGUUGACCUUCUAUGUACAAAAAUGUCAGAUGUUUUGACUCCCAGACUUUGGUAUUCAGCACCUUCAACUCUACUUCCUAUACAACCUUUGGAGAAGUCCACACUAAUUCUCCCCCUUGACCACUACUUUAAAUGUGGAACCCCUUCACCCCCAGAAAAUAAUUAAAUUGGCUCUUUAUUUGUGACAAAAAUGGGGGAGAGAAGGACUGAGAACCUCAAACAAGGUGCCCAGAGUUGCUAUCUGGGUGAUUAAAUUCCCAACUCCUCACUUAGUAUUUAAAACUAAGAAGAAUGGUCCUCUCCAACUACCCUCAACAAUUCCAAAUCACCCUUCAUUAGUUAUGCUCCAAUUUCUUCUUGCUUUAUCUAUUCUCCAUUAUUUUGUGUUUGGACCCCACCAUGCUUACUUUGCCCCAAAACCUUCCUCAUUCCCAGUCAUCUACCCUGAUAUGAUGUUACUAUUACUGUACAAAUAUUACUAUUAUUUUGGAUUCUUAUAAAACCUUCUAAUAGAUAAUUUCCAAUAACUCUUCUAAUUCAUGGGCAAGGCACAGGCAGGUAGGAGCUGAUUCUCCCCUUUCGUUCAUUAUUGACCUCUCUUUAAAAUCCUGGGCUGCCAAAGAUAAUUGAAUCACAAUCAUCUCAACCCCUAAGACCUACACACAUGGUCUUGUAUACAGUGACAUAAUUAAACUCAUCAUAAACAAAAGCACAAUAUAAAGAAAUUUUCUGCUUCUUUUGCUUCCUCUCCUUUCCCCACAAAGCUGGUAGAUUAUGAGGAUGUUUAUCUUUAUUUCGGAAGACACUGAGAGUCAAAUCAAAUACAGUUUUCUCUGAGGACAUGCAAGAUGGGGAGAUGAGAGGAACCUAAGAGCAAGAAAUAGGAUUUCUCAUUGCCUGAGCAAUCAGACAUCUCUAAGAGUAUCCCUCCUCUGUAUUCAAGACCUAAGCUUCCAGAGACUUAACAACUUCUACUUCAUCAGACUUCUUACUUUGAAAUGUCAGUGGCACCACGUGUUUUGGAAGCCUGGAUUGGUCUCCCAAAUGGAGUCCAACAGAGUAACAGUCUCAUACACAAGAGUCGUUGAUGGACCAGGAGUCCCAAUUGAUGUUCACAGAUGUUCGCAGCAGGGUAGAGGUCUUUCUCCAGUCAAGCUGUCCAGCAGGCUGACUACAUAUACUCUCUCAUCCCAGCUGAAAUCCUCAAAGGUCAGUUGUUGAUGGAUGAUCAUGAUCUUUUCAGCCACACACCUUACUCCUUCUGCUCCCCCAAAGUAUGGUAGUUGGGGAAAACAAUCCUCUACUGCUUGGAACCUUGACCCAGUAGGCUCAUGUACAUCCAUGCUAAGGAAUGUUUCUGCUGCCUCAGUUAUUCUUUCGAGGAAGGCCGUAGGUGUUUCUGCUACCUUUUGUUUAAUAGCUUCAAAUUUGGACCAGGCAUUUGGUCUUUUAGUAUACCAACCCAUAACCUCAAGUAUAGCUUCCCUAGCUUCUUUCAUUUCCUCAUAUUUAUCUUUGUUAGUUAUAUCCAUUUCAUAUCUAUUUGGCCAGGAUACUAAUAGAGGAUCUGAUCUUGUCUCUAUGAAUUUGGUACAGUCCCUUUUUGUUAGUAUUUCUUUCAUUAAAAGGGCAAAAUCAUUGUAAUCCGGGUCAAAAAGGUCAAUAACCCAUUUCAUUUCCUUGAUCACUCGAUUUGGUUCCUCAGUAAAAGCUGGGGUCCUUCUCAAUGGAUUCUAGGUCUUUUGGGGGUAAACAUUUUAUGGGUCUUUAUUUGGGAUAUUUCAUCUUUGGAAACUACGGGAGAUCCCUUAAUGGACAUAGGGUAGCCAUCCCUCUAGCCUCUUACUGUUGUAACCUGCUAAAUUGUUUUAUUUCUCCAGUGUUCCUAUUAAUAGUCCCCACAUCCAUAUUCCAUGUUUAUGACCUUAGUAUUCCUUAUAUAUUGCUCCAUCUGUUCCAGUUGAUUUUUCAUUUGUACCACCAUUAAUUUUAACUCAGAAUCCCUUGUUACCCAAGUCACAAUAGCUUUGAACCAUUUGCCCACAAUAAAGAAAGCCAGUCUAUACUUGUACAAUAGAUAAAGACAAAUAUAACAUAAGGGGACAUGAGACAGGACAGUUCACUAUAUUAUAUCCAUCACCGGUUUCAUCCAUGUAUACUCUAAACCUAUAUAACAAACAUUAGGGAAUAAUACAAAAACAGUGUAUGGGAUAUGCAAAAUAUAAUCCCACAGUACAAGUAAAAUAUUCAUUAUAACAUCACCAGACAUUUUAAUAUUCAAUGAUAACACCAUGUAUACAAGUGACUGGGUGUUGUUAUACUCCACUGUGAGCAAUAUUUACACAAAUAAUUUACAAACAAGAAAAAAUUUGAAAAAGAAAAAAAAAUUUUUUCAGUAUGGCCACCCAAUAUGGCCACCUAUAGCAUGUGGCAAUGGCCCUUUAAAGUUUAAAUGGCUCCACUAGCCUGCCCAGAGUCUUAGAAUUCUGCUGGUCCCCACCCUUAGGCUAUACCACUGCUUUGAGUGGGAAUGGAAUGUUCCACCCCCAACUGACUGACUUCUCUAUAGACACUAACUUACAUAAAUAAAACUUAAUUUGUAUGAUUUUUGAAACCUAGCUAGCUCUGUCAAACUGUUUUAAUAAUUAUAAUAGAUUAAUUGGGUGAGGGGAAGGAUAGUAAUACAGAGGGAAACAUAUAAAAUAUUGAUUUUAUUAACAGGAAAAGGGAUGAAGAGUUUGGGAAUAGAAGGAAGGCAAGGGUUACUGCUAACACUUAUGCCAGUUGCUGAUGGAUGAUCAGGAUCUUUUCAGCCACACACCUUACUCCUUCUCCUGGUCCUCCAGAGUAUGGCAUUUGGGAAAACCGCUCCUCAACUGCUUGGAACCUUGACCCUGUAGGCUCAUGAGAUUCUAAAUCCUGCCAAUCAUUUGCAAUUGCUAUCUUUCCUUGAUACACCAUUCACAAGUCCUGAAGGGCAUCACUCCUUGAAAGGGAAAGGAGGAUGAGAUUAUUUAGACAGCAGCAGUUGAGCUGAAGGUCCAGAAGAAUGAUUUUGAGGGUAUUAUUAUUGGGGUGGAUUGGAGAAAGUCAAUCGGACCAUCUUUGGGGAAUGAUCUCCCAACUCCAAUGUCAGCUUUCUUUGCUCUUCCCAAUCAGAAGUAAACUCUCCAUCUUCUAAUUUAAUAUAGAACCUUGUAACUGCCUUAUUGCAUUUAUACAAUAUACUUUCAAUUAUAAUUAUUUGUACAUAUGCCAACUACCCUUCUAGAUGGAACAUUUCUUCCAGAAAAGCAGGGACUGUGUCUUACUCCUCUUUGUAUUCUCUAUAUUUCCUAGUACAAUGUCUUGCACAUAGUAAGUGCUCAAUAAAUAUUUGUUGAAUGAAUGAAUUAGUGAAUGAGAAGGGCCCUCCUCCUGAUUUGCUAACCCUGGCUUAAGGGUGGCAAAUUUGGGCAAUUGAAAUACAAAAAGGAGCCUGCUGCAUCUUUCCAAAGAUGUUACCCAUUUCUGGAUAGAUGUUGCACCUAUCCCAACUUUCCAAGGAUCAUAACUUUUAGAAAGUAAAAGGGGGAGGGGGGACAAAGGGGAGCAGAAAGAAAAGUAUAGUGGAAAAAACCCUGGAUCUGGAGUCAAGAGAAUCUGGGGUGAAAUCCUGACUCAGAUACUUAUUAACUGUGUGACUUUGGUCACAUCUUCUUAUUUAUCUGGGCCUCAGCUUUUUCAUCUGUAUGGAACAGGAAUUAAGGCACAAAUUGUUUAAAUAGUUAUCUCCAUUAUUGGCUUCAUACAUUCAUAACUUAACAACAUGUAACAUAGAUUAGGAAACAGUUUAAAAAUACCACAGGAAAUAUACAUUAAACAAUUGUAAAUAAACAUAAAAUUGUGUUCAACAUAUCCUCCGCCAUGAUGUUAUACCGUUGUACAAUUGUAUAAUACAAUAUGGGAUAUGUAUUAUUAGUAGCUACUUUGAUUGAAAAAAUCACCAACAGAAAAAAGAAAUUUUCCACAUAGCACACAUGCUACUCGUCCCUUUAAAUUAUCCUUUUAAACUGUCUCCUUAAGUGGUGUUAAAUCCCCCCCAGUGUCAAUCAACCUUAAAUUCUAUUUUCAGCACCUUGGACAGCAACCUACUCACUCCCUCCCCCAAGGAGAUGGAAUUUUGCAGUCUGCUGCUCUUGACUGACAGAUCUGGUAGAAUUCUUUCUGCUGCCCUGCCACCCUGCUUGGUAACCCACAGCACUCAGUGAAACUUUAUAGCCUAACCCAAAAUUCUAUAGGUUUGACAUUCCUUGGCUUGCCAAACGAAAUAAAAAAUUAAAAGUAAAUGUAAAAAUAAAAGUAAAAUAUAUGGUUUAUCUAAACUGGGACAGGUAAAUCUUAUAUAUAGUAUAUAGGGUUAGGGAUAUUGUCUUUGGGGCAGUUACCAGAAGAUCUUAGGUUUGGGAAGGCUCUCAAAGAAUAACUUUAUUUUAUUCAAGUUAAGGGAAGAGAAUUAGGAUGAUCUAUUUUAAUAAUAUAACCUCCCCCCAUCUAGUUGUUAUCUUAUUACAGUUGGUAUUUGCA
Non-coding RNA from Monodelphis domestica (gray short-tailed opossum), 17548 nucleotides. Lineage: Eukaryota; Metazoa; Chordata; Mammalia; Didelphimorphia; Didelphidae. The record is from RefSeq and is a predicted model, not a curated record.